CAGCCUGCUCCUCCCAGCUCUCUGGAUACUGCAUCAUACCCAGCUCUUCUCCCAGGAUGCAUGGGUAGUUAUGCAAGCAAUGGAAGCAAGGAGUGCUUGCUGCCUUUGAAACGCUGGCUGUCAUGUGGGGCUUCAGCUACUAACUGCUGAAGUUGCUCUUGAACCACCUGUACUGGCACUACAUGAAUCUUCACAGGAACCUGCUGUUUGCUGGCCCCUAAAGGACAACAUGAAGGUGAGUCAUCUGCAGGUAUCCAGAAAAUGUACAGCGUGAAAAUUAUCAGGGCAUUAGGAAUACAAAGUAGGUCCUUAGAGUGCCUUUGGAAAAAUAAAUAUGGAGCGCCUCUAAUUUACAAAGACAACUCAUUUCCUACUCUUCACAGUCGCAGACUAGAAUAAUGAGAUUUCAAAGCUUCCUGUGGGUUUGCUACACACAGUGGUGUGCUGCCACGUUUCUUCAAGGACAGCCCAGAAAGCAAACUGAUGCUUGGCUCCUCCUCUGACCCCGUGGCAGGAGCUGUCCUUGCAGCAGCUGGUGUCUGGCACAACUCUUAUUUCCAGCAGAGCAGGCUGCCAGAGCCCCACCUUUUCUCCACCUUCCCCUCUCUCAACACAGAUGCAUGACAAGGGAGAACAAUAGUUCUGCAGAGACCCAUCUUUUCUCCUAAUACAAGUUGUCUAUCACAGAAAGGCCUUAAUAGUCACAAAGGGUCUAGCAUAUAGACAACUAUCUCUUUAGGAACUAGGCACAUGUCCGUAGAGAUUUAAAGGAAUACAUCAGUUUGGUUAAUUUUUAUACUUAUUCAUAAUAUGAUGAAAUAUUAAAAUAAUCCACAGCUGUACAUACAGUUUUUUCUUUUACUGGAAUAUAACAAAUUCAGGUGUAAGUAAUUCUAAAAUGCAUUAGAUCAAUGCCUGUGAUAACUAUGGAUGUGCUUUCACAGCAUUGGCUGGUGUUUUAAAUCCAAGUGUCACAAAAGCCCACAUUAAUGACCAUUAAUGGACCAAAACGCACAUGGAAGCCUUUGCAAAUUUUCACUCAAGAUGUAUUUUGAAACCU
This is a long non-coding RNA of Pezoporus occidentalis (night parrot), 1060 nucleotides long. RefSeq lists it as uncharacterized. The transcript is spliced from 3 exons. The record is from RefSeq and is a predicted model, not a curated record. NCBI's taxonomy places the organism in Eukaryota, Metazoa, Chordata, Aves, Psittaciformes, Psittacidae.